RNAcentral lists this ribosomal RNA (496 nucleotides) under uncultured bacterium. RNAcentral describes it as "partial 16S ribosomal RNA". It matches the Rfam family "Bacterial small subunit ribosomal RNA", at positions 28 to 506 of the family's 1533-position model. The record is from RNAcentral.
GAUGAACGCUGGCGGCGUGCCUAAUACAUGCAAGUCGAGCGAACAGACGAGGAGCUUGCUCCUUUGACGUUAGCGGCGGACGGGUGAGUAACACGUAGGUAACCUACCUAUAAGACUGGGAUAACUUCGGGAAACCGGAGCUAAUACCGGAUAAUAUUUCGAACCGCAUGGUUCGAUAGUGAAAGAUGGCUUUGCUAUCACUUAUAGAUGGACCUGCGCCGUAUUAGCUAGUUGGUAAGGUAACGGCUUACCAAGGCAACGAUACGUAGCCGACCUGAGAGGGUGAUCGGCCACACUGGAACUGAGACACGGUCCAGACUCCUACGGGAGGCAGCAGUAGGAAAUCUUCCGCAAUGGGCGAAAGCCUGACGGAGCAACGCCGCGUGAGUGAUGAAGGUCUUCGGAUCGUAAAACUCUGUUAUUAGGGAAGAACAAACGUGUAAGUAACUGUGCACGUCUUGACGGUACCUAAUCAGAAAGCCACGGCUAACUACGU